Molecule: long non-coding RNA, 483 nt
Organism: Hemicordylus capensis (graceful crag lizard)
Lineage: Eukaryota; Metazoa; Chordata; Lepidosauria; Squamata; Cordylidae
Exons: 3
Source: RefSeq, a predicted model, not a curated record
GAGUCAUGGCCGAAGCCUGGCAAUUUAUUUUUAUUUUUUUAGGUGGGGGAAUGAUACAAGAAGAUCAAUAGCUGACGUAACACCCCACUGCUGCAGACUUCUAAGGGUGUCACUUUUUGCACUGAAAGAUCUUUACCUUUGUCAUGUCCACAAAUUGAGCUGAAAAAUCAAUCAGGGCAUAUGAUGGAGCAGAGAAGAAAACACGCAGACGCAUGAUAUGGGAUAACGUUUGUAGACGGUUGUGAAAAAACGUGCCCCAUUAGUUAUGAAAUGCAGCAUAACUACACAGGCAACCAUUGAAGAGCAUCUCCAUACAAGAAAAAUAUCACGUACAAAACAGUUCUUAUUUUGAGCAGUCAGCAAACACAUGAGUUCAACUUGAUAAACAGACAACCCAAAGGUCAGGACUGGCCUACAAAUUACUUUUAGCACAUUACAAUUUAAGUCAAUUCUUAUUUUAGAUUGUUGAUGCUGAUAUUUGUA